Molecule: non-coding RNA, 113 nt
Organism: Acanthosepion pharaonis
Lineage: Eukaryota; Metazoa; Mollusca; Cephalopoda; Sepiida; Sepiidae
Source: the annotation of a GenBank genome assembly
UUACGGCUAUGUCACGUUGAAACAUCGCUUCCCGUACGAUCACCGAAGUUAAGCAAUGUCGAGGCUGGUCAGUACCUAGAUGGGUGACUCUUAGAAAUUCCAGGAGCUGUAAG